AACCCCUAAACCAAUUGUCUCAAUUCGGAUUGCAGGCUGCAACCCGCCUGCAUGAAGCCGGAAUUGCUAGUAAUCGCGGAUCAGCAUGCCGCGGUGAAUACGUUCCCGGGCCUUGUACACACCGCCCGUCACACCAUGGGAGUCGGUAACACCCGAAGCCAAUAGUCUAACCGCAAGGAGGACGUUGUCGAAGGUGGGAUUGAUGACUGGGGUGAAGUCGUAACAAGGUAUC
This 232-nucleotide ribosomal RNA is filed under the name uncultured bacterium. Its description in RNAcentral is "partial 16S ribosomal RNA". It matches the Rfam family "Bacterial small subunit ribosomal RNA", at positions 1270 to 1500 of the family's 1533-position model. The record is from RNAcentral.